GAGGCUUUGUCUUAAUAAAAGAGUUUGAGUUGCAUUCAGAAGAUGUGGGUUAGUACCCUGCAAGCCUUA
This 69-nucleotide transfer RNA is filed under the name Pristimantis thymelensis (Thymelen robber frog). RNAcentral describes it as "tRNA-Ala". It matches the Rfam family "tRNA". Rfam says of the family: Transfer RNA (tRNA) molecules are approximately 80 nucleotides in length. Their secondary structure includes four short double-helical elements and three loops (D, anti-codon, and T loops). Lineage: Eukaryota; Metazoa; Chordata; Amphibia; Anura; Strabomantidae. The record is from RNAcentral.